RNAcentral lists this ribosomal RNA (467 nucleotides) under uncultured bacterium. Its description in RNAcentral is "partial 16S ribosomal RNA". It matches the Rfam family "Bacterial small subunit ribosomal RNA", at positions 28 to 506 of the family's 1533-position model. The record is from RNAcentral.
GACGAACGCUGGCGGCGUGCUUAACACAUGCAAGUCGAACGGAAAGGCCCUGCUUUUGUGGGGUGCUCGAGUGGCGAACGGGUGAGUAACACGUGAGUAACCUGCCCUUGACUUUGGGAUAACUUCAGGAAACUGGGGCUAAUACCGGAUAGGAGCUCCUGCUGCAUGGUGGGGGUUGGAAAGUGUCGGCGGUUGGGGAUGGACUCGCGGCUUAUCAGCUUGUUGGUGGGGUAGUGGCUUACCAAGGCUUUGACGGGUAGCCGGCCUGAGAGGGUGACCGGCCACAGUGGGACUGGGAUACGGCCCAGACUCCUACGGGGGGAAGGAGUGGGGAAUAUUGCACAAUGGGCGGAAGCCUGAUGCAGCAACGCCGCGUGGGGGAUGACGGCCUUCGGGUUGGAAACCGAUUUCGCCUGUGACGAGGCGUGAGUGACGGUAAUGGGGAAAGAAGCACCGGCUAACUACGU